Molecule: long non-coding RNA, 1060 nt
Filed under: Brachypodium distachyon (stiff brome)
Lineage: Eukaryota; Viridiplantae; Streptophyta; Magnoliopsida; Poales; Poaceae
Description: long non-coding RNA (BDIS_LNC000115)
Source: RNAcentral
AUGUUGUCUGGCCCUAAUUGUCAAGUGGUAUGUGCAUAGUAUAGUUGCCAUUAUGUUGGGUUAUAAUUGCCAUGUCGUGCACUACUAACUACUCCCUCCAUUCCAUAAUAUGAGGCACACACGUUUUCCUAGAACAUCGAUUUGAUUCAUUAAAUAUGUAUUUUUCUUAACAAAAAGUAUCAUGUCAUAUGAUACCUAGUUUUCAUGUUGUGUGUUUCUAAUUGCCAUGUUAUCUAGUCAUAGUUGUCAUGUCGUGCACAAUUAACUACCAUGUUGUGUACUAUCUAGUUGCCAUGUUGUGUGGUCCUAGUUGUGGUUUUGUCUGAUCAUAGUUGACAUGAUGUUGGGUCAAAGUUGUCAUGCUAUGCACUACUAACUAAUCAUGUCAUGGUAAGUAGGCGUUGAUAAACUAGGAAGUAGACACGUUAACUUGCCAAAUAUGCGUGGAUAAGCCGACAAGUAGGGACGGAUAUCUGCCAAGUGGGUGUUGUUAAAUCGACAAAUAGAAACAACUAAGCCGAAAAGUUGGCUUCAAUAAAUGAAGAAGUCGGUAAAUAGACAAAAAAAGCAUGUUGGUAUGAAUCAGGAUAUAUGUGAAAGCGGCAUUGUGAAUUAUUGAUGAAUGGAUUAAAGUCGAUCAAAAUUUUACCCACGGUAAAAAGUAAGUGCAAUUUUUGGAGAGAAAAAAGGCAAAAAAAAAACUAAAACAAGAUGGCUAGACUGGAUUGGGUUUGGGCUGCGCUAGCGUAUGUGUUUGGAUGGGCAACGUUGUGGGCUUUAGAGCAAGCCCAAUGUUGGUCAACAUCCGGUGCUAAGAAGGUGCCAAGAAGAGUUAGACCUGGGCCUAGCCAUUGGAGCAUGGAGGGGCUAAGAAUUUUUUCUUAGACUCGGUUCUUCUACUUUACUUGGGUCUAACAAAUGGUUGACUUCAUGGGACCCACCCUAGCGCUUCCGUCUCCCCCAGAGCGGCCACAGACACGCUCACCGGCGCUGCUUCUUGUGGAGCCCACCGUCGUCGCUCCUGUGUCCGGCCGCCGCGAGAGCCAUCGGGGGGAGACGA